Molecule: ribosomal RNA, 200 nt
Filed under: uncultured bacterium
Lineage: Bacteria
Description: partial 16S ribosomal RNA
Rfam family: Bacterial small subunit ribosomal RNA
Source: RNAcentral
AGAGUUUGAUCCUGGCUCAGAGCGAACGCUGGCGGCAGGCCUAACACAUGCAAGUCGAGCGGCCGUAGCAAUACGGCAGCGGCAGACGGGAGAGUAACACGUGGGAACGCGCCCUUCGGUUCGGAAUAACUCAGGGAAACUUGGGCUAAUACCGGAUACGCCCUUACGGGGAAAGAUUUAUUGCCGAAGGAACGGCCCGC